This 468-nucleotide ribosomal RNA is filed under the name uncultured bacterium. RNAcentral's name for it is "partial 16S ribosomal RNA". It matches the Rfam family "Bacterial small subunit ribosomal RNA", at positions 28 to 507 of the family's 1533-position model. The record is from RNAcentral.
GACGAACGCUGGCGGCGUGCUUAACACAUGCAAGUCGAACGGAAAGGCCCUGCUUUUGUGGGGUGCUCGAGUGGCGAACGGGUGAGUAACACGUGAGUAACCUGCCCUUGACUUUGGGAUAACUUCAGGAAACUGGGGCUAAUACCGGAUAGGAGCUCCUGCUGCAUGGUGGGGGUUGGAAAGUUUCGGCGGUUGGGGAUGGACUCGCGGCUUAUCAGCUUGUUGGUGGGGUAGUGGCUUACCAAGGCUUUGACGGGUAGCCGGCCUGAGAGGGUGACCGGCCACAUUGGGACUGAGAUACGGCCCAGACUCCUACGGGAGGCAGCGGUGGGGAAUAUUGCACAAUGGGCGGAGGCCUGAUGCAGCAACGCCGCGUGCGGGAUGACGGCCUUCGGGUUGUAAACCGCUUUCGCCUGUGACGAAGCGUGAGUGACGGUAAUGGGUAAAGAAGCACCGGCUAACUACGUG